Long non-coding RNA from Gossypium arboreum, 508 nucleotides. RefSeq lists it as uncharacterized. Lineage: Eukaryota; Viridiplantae; Streptophyta; Magnoliopsida; Malvales; Malvaceae. The record is from RefSeq and is a predicted model, not a curated record. The transcript has 5 exons.
GGAAUCAUGUCUUUCGAUCUCAUAUGCUGAAGCCAUCCUGCAGCUGCUUUGGAUCCUCCCAAGAUCUGUACGGCUGAGGACCAAAAGAAGAAAGAUGAUGAGGAUUUGGUGAGUGGCUGUUCGGGAUUUCGCCCUCGCUGGUUCUCUACACCGCAAAUCCGAAUCAUUUCAACUUUUACCGUAUUCCCCGAAGCUUUUGAAUGGUUAUGUCCUGAGAAUCAGAUUGAUUAUGUCCUGUUAUUUGCCUAGGGCUUCCUUUAUAUGUCAAGAUCAUUCGUAUAGAAUAUAUGUCAUGAUGCUAUUCACGUCUUUGCUUGCCUUUGCGAUUGAUCUUCUCAGCCUCUUCUUACAAUCCCUGAAGGCCUACUUUAUAUUGGAUGAACUCUUGAUUGCCGGUGAACUUCUUUAUGUUUGUCCGAAUUUGACUCAAUCCAAAUUAUAGGUUAAUAGCUUUCCAGUAUUGGGUUUAAAAAGCUUUAUAAAUGCUUGAUGAAUAUUUUCCUGCAGU